Molecule: transfer RNA, 93 nt
Filed under: bacterium
Lineage: Bacteria
Description: tRNA-Ser
Rfam family: tRNA
About the family: Transfer RNA (tRNA) molecules are approximately 80 nucleotides in length.
Source: RNAcentral
GGAGAGGUGGGAGAGCUGGUUUAAUCCAAUCGGUUGCUAACUGAUCGUGCGUCGAAAGAUGUACCGAGGGUUCGAAUCCCUCCCUCUCCGCCA